RNAcentral lists this ribosomal RNA (253 nucleotides) under uncultured bacterium. RNAcentral describes it as "partial 16S ribosomal RNA". It matches the Rfam family "Bacterial small subunit ribosomal RNA", at positions 524 to 776 of the family's 1533-position model. The record is from RNAcentral.
UACGUAGGCAGCGAGCGUUGUUCGGAGUUACUGGGCGUAAAGGGUGUGUAGGCGGUUGUUUUAGUUUGGUGUGAAAUCUCCCGGCUCAACUGGGAGGGUGCGCCGAAUACUGAAUGACUAGAGUGCGGGAGAGGAAAGUGGAAUUCCUGGUGUAGCGGUGAAAUGCGUAGAUAUCAGGAGGAACACCGGUGGUGGAGACGGCUUUCUGGACCGUAACUGACGCUGAGACACGAAAGCGUGGGUAGCAAACAGG